CACUACCGACAACAAAAGGCAAAAUGUGACUCCUCAGAUUCGACAAAAAAGAAGAAGAAGAGGAAGAGCCAGGCUAUCCACCAGGAUGAUGUUCUGUCAGAAGAGCACUCAUUAGUUGAACAGGAUGAAGCUUUCGUCCAACAUGAGGCUGAUGGUGAACUGUCAAACACAAGUACAGCAGAGGAGCACGCAGUUGUGGAGAAAGAAGUGAAAAAUGGUAUCGACCAUAAUCAUUCAGAGCUCCAUGUCUGCCGGUUAAGAAUAAUUGAGCUUGAAGAGCAGUUGCGAGGCAAAGAAACAGCUUUGGAACAUUUCAUCAUUGAACUGGAGGAUCUGCAGGAGCAACUGUCUAGCCACCAGGACAGUGAGCAAAUGCAACAGGU
Long non-coding RNA from Rhincodon typus (whale shark), 383 nucleotides. RefSeq lists it as uncharacterized. The transcript has 3 exons. The record is from RefSeq and is a predicted model, not a curated record. Lineage: Eukaryota; Metazoa; Chordata; Chondrichthyes; Orectolobiformes; Rhincodontidae.